RNAcentral lists this ribosomal RNA (439 nucleotides) under uncultured bacterium. RNAcentral's name for it is "partial 16S ribosomal RNA". It matches the Rfam family "Bacterial small subunit ribosomal RNA", at positions 338 to 795 of the family's 1533-position model. The record is from RNAcentral.
CCUACGGGUGGCUGCAGUGGGGAAUAUUGCACAAUGGGGGAAACCCUGAUGCAGCGACGCCGCGUUAGUGAAGAAGUAAUUCGUUAUGUAAAGCUCUAUCAGCAGGGAAGAAAAUGACGGUACCUGAGUAAGAAGCCCCGGCUAACUCCGUGCCAGCAGCCGCGGUAAUACGUAGGGGGCAAGCGUUAUCCGGAUUUACUGGGUGUAAAGGGAGCGUAGACGGCAGUGCAAGUCUGGAGUGAAACGCAUGAGCUCAACUCAUGCAUGGCUUUGGAAACUGGAGGACUGGAGAGCAGGAGAGGGCGGUGGAACUCCAUGUGUAGCGGUAAAAUGCGUAGAUAUAUGGAAGAACACCAGUGGCGAGGCGGCCGCCUGGCCUGUUGCUGACGCUGAGGCACGAAAGCGUGGGGAGCAAAUAGGAUUAGAUACCCGUGUAGUC